GUGGAAUCGGUGUAUCUAAAUUUUUCUAAUAGGUAAAUUAGAAUAUUGAAUGAUUUCAGCAUACAUGUUCUUCUAUUUGUAUACCUUCUAAGGACCGUUCGCGGCUAUGUGCUAUGGAAUGAAAAUUUUCAAUCGAAAAAUUGUACGCCAUCUCAGGACGUCAGUUGAAACCACAUAUUUCGACUAGAGUUUAACGUGCAUAUCCUGACAUUCCCAUUCGAACGCCGUAGACUAAAAAUAUUCUUUCCUCCGGUAGCCGGACGAAGUGACACGACACAAGGGCCAGGAGAGGGCCGGUCAGUUCCGGUGGAGAUUGGACACGACCAUUGAGAAGAACCGGCCACUGUGACGGAACUUCCGCCGUUCUGGACAGG
Long non-coding RNA from Diorhabda carinulata, 374 nucleotides. RefSeq lists it as uncharacterized. The transcript has 3 exons. Lineage: Eukaryota; Metazoa; Arthropoda; Insecta; Coleoptera; Chrysomelidae. The record is from RefSeq and is a predicted model, not a curated record.